This 1003-nucleotide long non-coding RNA is filed under the name Cricetulus griseus (Chinese hamster). RNAcentral describes it as "lncRNA (ENSCGRG00015030554.1)". Lineage: Eukaryota; Metazoa; Chordata; Mammalia; Rodentia; Cricetidae. The record is from RNAcentral.
CACUGAAGGAACCAGCUUCCUUUUGGCAGCCAUAACAGCCGAACACGUGCUUGCCAUAAACCUGCCUUGGUCACGUAGAGGUCAGAUGCCUGUCUUGUGACAAGGAACCAAUCGGAAGUUAGCUGGUGGCGCUAUGCUUUACGACCCUGGGUGUGCUUUACGGACAAGCGCACAGCAAUGACGUAGAGAGCAUAGCAACCGCCCUGGGAGGGCCUAUGAGCCAUAACAACCAGUUGACCAAUCAACACAGGGCAAGCCCUCCAAGCCUGGAGGCACACCAAUCAUGAGCCUGUGCGUAAGCCUGUGCGUACCCCUAGACACUCCCCUUACGCUGCCCUAUAAGAUCUUUGGGGAGACCUUAGGAGCCGUCUUUUUCUAGCCGUCUGCCAUGGCGGGUGGGUGAAAGACCCGAGCUAACAUGGGGUUAGUUCGUUAAAUUACAAUAAAGCCUCGUGCAGUUUGCAGCAAGCUCUCGAAUCCGCCUGGUGAUUGGGGUGACCGCGAACCUGGCCUGAGACCCCGGAUACUUGAGUUUUCGGGGGUCUAACAUUUUGGGGGCUCGUCCGCGAUUUGCGACCACCCUUCACCUGAGUGGAUUCGAUCUUGGAGGUUUCUGCUUCUGGCAGACAUCUGAAUAUCAGUUGCUGACUACAGACUGUUCUAAGACUGCGAGCCCUGGACUUGCUGUGAAUGUGAACCAGUUCAGCUGAUAUGGACACCCCCUGUCUCUGCAACAGUGUCUGCUAACCAGAAGCCCCUGAUGGAUUCCCCAUUGCCUAAAUUCCUUUUUGCUUUUGACUAGCAUUUCAACCUUCUGGGGUCCCUAACUUCGUCCCAAAGUCAGCAGGAAGCAGUUUAGAAAAGAAUUUCGGCGUCCAUUUUCCCUGGUUAAAAUGCUAAGUCAAAAGGAACUCCCUUGCAUGGGGAUGACAGUAUCUAUCACUCCCUGAUGGGGAUGCUAGAGAGACAGCAAUUCCAUGAUUGGAAUUUCCAGAAAAGAAAA